This 3627-nucleotide long non-coding RNA is filed under the name Taeniopygia guttata (zebra finch). RNAcentral describes it as "lncRNA (ENSTGUG00000020128.1)". The record is from RNAcentral. Lineage: Eukaryota; Metazoa; Chordata; Aves; Passeriformes; Estrildidae.
UUUGCUUCCCCUCCCCAAGCUGAUUUCAAGGAGCUACCACACUCUCAUCUCCCGUCAGCCAAAUGAAUAUUCAAAAGGCUUUUGCCAAGCCAACUGCCAGUCAAUCAGAGAAACAAUGCUGCAGGGAAAAAAACACUGGGCUGAGAGACCUGUGUGAGACAGGCACCUUGUCCCUCACCACGGCUCUGCUUGAGCAUCCAAGCCUUUAAUGUGGUGCACGGUGCUCCUGCCAGGUCUGCUGCUCUGCCUGCUCCAUCCCCUGCCACCCCACAGGACUGCAGGGCUACAGCAGAGCUGCUGGAUGGAGGAUGAGCAUCCCAAACCAGGGUGCUGUGAGUGGGGAAAGAUCCCAGGACUGUGAUCCCAGCAACACACCCCUCCUGAGGGAGCUGCAGAUAGCUCUUCCCUCUCUUCUGCUACAGGCUGGGACCACAAAUGUUUCCUGCAUGGGAUGGGCAGGUUCCUGGUGAGGUCCCACUCCCUGCUCAGCAGCAGCUGGUAGGAAUUGGGCCUUUCUGCUCUGUGCACUGUACAUGGACAAGCCAAGGUGGACAACUCCGGCCUUGCAGAUGUUGGGAGGAGGGAGCCAAGGGGAUCUGCAGCAGUUGACAGUGUGUCAUGCCUAAUACUCAAGCUUUUCCAGGCCUCAGAGGAUCCCUGAAUAGAAAGAAACCACCCACCACUGGAACACAGCCACUUUUGUGGCUGGAAGGGGCAGAUGUUCAACCCCAUACAACAAUGCAACACAACAGUCGAGGCUGUAAGUGAAGAAUGCUGCAUCCACUUAAAACUGAAGGGGGAAAUUAGGGACACCAUCUAAUUCUAGAACUACCAUUUGGUCCUGGUGCUUAAAGUUCACAUACCUACUCUGCAAGAGUGGCACAGGGCUUCCUUCCAUUGCCUUAAAUAGACAAUAUCCUGGACUGAAGCACUGAACCACAAGGACUUCAGAAGCAUAUGGUCAGACUGGCAAGUGCUCAGCUCCUUCAGCUGGAACACCAGUUCCCAAAUAAGUUCAGUUCCUUUUUAGCACCUACAUAAGUGACAGACUUCCAGCAAUCCCAACUGGACUGCACAGGACAGGCCCUGCUGGCACAGAGAGGGCAGACCAUUAAGAGAGCUCAGUAUUCUGACAGCCAAACCCUUUGCUGAGAUGAGCCUGGGGAGAAGCUGCAUUUCGGAAAUCCUGCUCACCACAGCCAGCAUUAAAUCCUUCACCACUCAGUUGCCAAGAAGAGCUUGGCAUGGAGACAACCAUCCUUACCACCACACCCUCAUUCACUGACCCCCAAGAUUUCCCAUGGGACAACCUUCUCCCUUUCUCUGAAAUACCCAGCAUGUCUUUUAGGAUUGAUAGCAAGAGAAAAAUGGAUUUGAGACAUGAUUUGAGAUCUCUCUGGGCGAAAUCUGGGCAUCUGGAUCAUGCACCUGCCACCCAGAUGCAAUCCUGGUCAUUUGCUCCCUGGUUAGAAACUGUAUUUGUUCAAAACCAUCUGUCAAGACACUCUGGACGGAACUCAGAGACACAAAGUUCAAGGGUUAUUUGUGAAACAAACCGUGCCAGACAGGACUCUCCUCUUCCUCCAGCUGUUUAGUGACACUUGGAAUGAAGUGGCCUUACUGGAGAGUCAAUUAUUUUUUAAGUUGAAAACUCACCAUCCUCUAGAUCAGCUGUGAGCUGAAAGCAUCCCAGUUAUUCACUGCUGGAAGCUAAGGGAAUUUCCUUACUCCCAGAAGACAGACAUUUAAAAUUAGUUUCAAGUUCAGUUGUGAUAAACAAAUCAUAUUCUCCUCCUUUCCUUCUCCUGUUUUGUUUUGAGUUUUUUGUUUUGUUUUUUUUUUUUUGGUUUGUUUUUUUUCUGGGGGGCUGGAGGGGGGAUUGGUUUUUUUGGGUUUUUUGUUUGUUGUUUGUUUUUUAAAUCAUUCCUGCUAGUCCAAUCAGUCUUUUCCUUAGUUGCUGUUUGCAACUCCUCAUUUAAAAAUUCAUUCACAAGGAUGCAGGGGAACCACAGACAUCCUCUAAGAAGAAACAGCAAAGCCAGAUCCCUGAUUUCAGAGCUUUUCUUUUGACACUUGAUUCCCUGAGAACCUAAUUAAAAAGAAACAAACCACCAUGUAUUUAGGUUUUUCCCCACUUCCUGUGAAGAGCAAAAGGUUGGGAGCUGGGAUGGGGGCUCAGGAGUUCAGCUCUCUGCUGACAACCAAGAUGAGCCCACUCCACCUACCCUGCCCAAAAGCUCGGGAUGCAAACAGCUCCCAGCAGACUGAUGAGGAAGACAAAAGACAAAUUUUAAAUUGAUAUGACACUGCAACUAAAGGGUUUGGGGUUUUGGACUGAGUCCCACAAGCCUGAAUUCAUAUGGAUGUACUUUGUACCUUGUGGAUCACAAGGCCUUGAUAGAAGAAGAUUCUUUUAAAAAAUUCAGGCAUGCUGGGAGAAUUGCCUCCUUGCCAUGUUUCAGUGAGUCUGCCCAUGAACUGCCAGCAAUUAAUAAGCUUACACUCUGCAUUCAAAGCUCUAUACACUGGAGUUUAUUAUUUUUAAGCCUUUCAGACAUCAAUGUAGCAAACUUAACAGAGCUAUUUGGAAGAUUAAGAUACAAACACCACCAUAUUAUUCAAUUUAGCUCCAACACUGAACCCUUAUUUUUGUAAAGGAUCACAGCUAAUACACUGCCAGCUGCCAGCAGAGACAAACACUUAAAAGUCACACUGCAGCAUGGUCUUGUAAAUCAAAUUUAGGAUAUAAGAAGAAGAAAAUUACUAUCAUUAUGCAAGUACAGCCCAAUCACCACCAACUGAUAGCAAACCUAUCUUCAGGUCUUGGCCACAGGCUUCAAAAAUCCAUCCCUCGAAAUGACAGCCCAAGGAAAUCCUCAUUUUCUGUGCAUGCAGCCAGGUGUGAACCUACUAGUACAUUUCCAAUAGCUGUAUUAGAUCACUUUUCUAAGUAUUUUAUAUGCCCAUACAAGUGCAAAGAGACUUUGUUACCAUCUCACCACCCCAGUUCACUAAUAGCUGCUCUCAUUACAGUGCUCACAGGAGAGCUGACUGCUGCAUUUUGCCCUCCUGAAACCAUCCCACCCUUCACAAACAAUUGCGUGAACUUAGGUUAGACUGGAUGCAGGAGUAGCAGAGGGGAACAACAUCCUUCAUGGGAAUGAGGGAAUGAAAUGAAAUAAGAGUCAAUAAAAAAUCCGUUUGCAAUAUGAAUACUGUCUUUCCUUAGAGCUGACUUAACCUGAAGCCUUUGGAAAAAAUCCAUCUGUUGCAAAUUUAAAAUUUCCUAGCCCUUCAAAUGAACAUGGAAAAUUUCUCAUUGCAAAGUGUUCCCUGAAUAACAGAAAUAUUUCUGGUUUACACCAAAGGCAUCACAGACUAUGUCAGAACUCCAGCAAGACAGAAAUCAAGAACCCCUUCUGGCUUUUCAGAUAAAAAUGAAGGGUUGUCUCAUUACAGUAGUUUGAAACAUCCAUUAUCCUCAUUAGGGUAAAGGGCACAGCAACAUUAUUAACUGUGUUUCACAGCACUAAGAAAACAGCAGGAUAAAGUAAACUGCAGGAGUCAGCACGGGCACAGUAAGGUAAAAACAUGCAUGCUGUGUCAGCAGGCAGCCUGCACACACAG